CCGACGGUGAGAGGUGAAAGCUGGGGGCACGAACCGGAUUAGAUACCCGGGUAGUCCCAGCCGUAAACGAUGCUAGCUAGGUGUCAGGCAUGGCGCGACCGUGUCUGGUGCCGCAGGGAAGCCGUGAAGCGAGCCACCUGGGAAGUACGGCCGCAAGGCUGAAACUUAAAGGAAUUGGCGGGGGAGCACAACAACGGGUGGAGCCUGCGGUUUAAUUGGACUCAACGCCGGACAACUCACCGGGGGCGACAGCAAUAUGUAGGCCAAGCUGAAGACUUUGCCUGAAUCGCUGAGAGGAGGUGCAUGGCCGUCGCCAGUUCGUACUG
This 326-nucleotide ribosomal RNA is filed under the name uncultured archaeon. Its description in RNAcentral is "bacterial SSU rRNA". It matches the Rfam family "Archaeal small subunit ribosomal RNA", at positions 691 to 1016 of the family's 1478-position model. The record is from RNAcentral.